CAGCAGCCGCGGGAAUACGAAGGGGGCUAGCGUUGUUCGGAUUUACUGGGCGUAAAGCGCACGUAGGCGGAUCGAUCAGUCAGGGGUGAAAUCCCAGAGCUCAACUCUGGAACUGCCUUUGAUACUGUCGAUCUGGAGUAUGGAAGAGGUGAGAGGAAUUCCGAGUGUAGAGGUGAAAUUCGUAGAUAUUCGGAAGAACACCAGUGGCGAAGGCGACUGACUGGACAAGUAUUGACGCUGAGGCACGAAAGCGUGGGUAGCAAACAGGAUUAGAUACCCCAGUAGUCCCUGUCUCUUAUAC
RNAcentral lists this ribosomal RNA (301 nucleotides) under uncultured bacterium. RNAcentral describes it as "partial 16S ribosomal RNA". It matches the Rfam family "Bacterial small subunit ribosomal RNA", at positions 509 to 807 of the family's 1533-position model. The record is from RNAcentral.